GCUUCCUUGGCUCAGUUAGUAGAGUGUUGGUCUCAUAAUCCAAAGGUAGGCAGUAUGAGCCUGCCAGGGAGCA
This 73-nucleotide transfer RNA is filed under the name Sphaerobolus stellatus SS14. Its description in RNAcentral is "tRNA-Met (CAT) (tRNA-Met-CAT-9-1)". It matches the Rfam family "tRNA". Rfam says of the family: Transfer RNA (tRNA) molecules are approximately 80 nucleotides in length. Their secondary structure includes four short double-helical elements and three loops (D, anti-codon, and T loops). Lineage: Eukaryota; Fungi; Basidiomycota; Agaricomycetes; Geastrales; Sphaerobolaceae. The record is from RNAcentral.